RNAcentral lists this ribosomal RNA (253 nucleotides) under uncultured bacterium. RNAcentral's name for it is "partial 16S ribosomal RNA". It matches the Rfam family "Bacterial small subunit ribosomal RNA", at positions 524 to 776 of the family's 1533-position model. The record is from RNAcentral.
UACGUAGGGUGCAAGCGUUAAUCGGAAUUGCUGGGCGUAAAGCGUGCGCAGGCGGCUAUGCAAGACAGAUGUGAAAUCCCCGGGCUCAACCUGGGAACUGCAUUUGUGACUGCAUGGCUAGAGUACGGCAGAGGGGGAUGGAAUUCCGCGUGUAGCAGUGAAAUGCGUAGAUAUGCGGAGGAACACCGAUGGCGAAGGCAAUCCCCUGGGCCUGUACUGACGCUCAUGCACGAAAGCGUGGGGAGCAAACAGG